CUGAAAUGUAUCCCUACAAAAGCCCAAGAGAGAGAGUGAAUAAAUUAGAAAAGAGAACUCAGAUAAUCCUCAGGUAUAAUUUGAAAUUCAACAGUUGUAUUUUGGAAUAUCUUGUGGGAAAUAUCUUUUGGUAACAAUCCAGGGCAAGUAUAUAUUUAGUUUGGGGGCAUCUACACUUGGCAAGACAUUCAAAAGAUUCAUAAAGGCCUUUAUUCAAUGAGUUUUUGCUUAUAAAAUCAUUUGUUGAACAGGGCACAGUGAAGGCUGAGGCAGAAGGAUGGAAAGUUUGAAGCCAGGCUUAAAAUAAAAUAAAAAGGGCUGUGGAUGUAGCUCUGUGGCAGAGCACUUGCCUGUCCAUGAGCAAGGCCCUGAGUUCAACCCCCAGCACUACCAAAAAAAAGAAGAAGAAGAAGAAGAAGAAGAAGAAGAAGAAGAAGAAGAAGAAGAAGAAGAAGAAGAAAGAAAGAAAAUCAUAUGUUGAAAUACUCUAGAGACAAAAAUACAGUACUUGGGAAAAUAAUUGGACUGAAACGUUCAAUUUGAAAAUUGAAUAUUUCAUUGGUGAAAAGUCAAGAAAAAUUAAAUUGCAAAUAUAUUCUGUUUAGCAGAAUUUGUUUUGAGGUCACUAAGUGCUUCAGUACCUAGAGAGAGAGUUAUUUUUUCAGACAAUAGGCAACUUAAGGUGAUAACAAUUUUAAAAUGUAUUAACCUUAGAAUGCAAUCUUCAAGUUGAUUGCAAGCACUUAUAGAUUAAUUUACCAUAAUAAGACCUUAUUAAAAUAUAUAUUCCUCAGAAAAAUACCAAUGACACUAUAUUAAGCAGAAUAUUACAAAAAUUGAUUAGCUCAGAAAACUUAACACCAAAACAACAAAUAACUCAAUCAAUAAAUGGGCAAAAGAACUAAGCAGAUAUUUCCCAAAAGAAGAAACACAAACGGUCAACAGAUAUAUGAAAAAUCAACAUCCCUAGAAUCAGGGAAAUGCAAACCAAAAUUACAUUAAGACUUCAUCUCACUUCAGUCACUAUGGCAAUUAUCAAAAAUACAAACAAUAAGUACUGAUGAGAAUGUGGGGGAAAAUGUACACUUGUACCUUGUUAGUGGCACUGCAGACUAGUACAGCCAUUCUGGAAAGCCACAUGAAGGCCCUUCAAAAAUCCAGGAAUGGAACAACCUUAUGACCCAGCUAUGCCAUCUCUUUGUAUUUAUCCAAAAGAACUCAAAUCAGCAUGCUUUACCAAUACAGCCACUCCGAU
This 1255-nucleotide long non-coding RNA is filed under the name Marmota monax (woodchuck). Lineage: Eukaryota; Metazoa; Chordata; Mammalia; Rodentia; Sciuridae. The record is from RNAcentral.